Oxyura jamaicensis (ruddy duck) is the source of this 2340-nucleotide long non-coding RNA. RefSeq lists it as uncharacterized. The transcript is spliced from 2 exons. Lineage: Eukaryota; Metazoa; Chordata; Aves; Anseriformes; Anatidae. The record is from RefSeq and is a predicted model, not a curated record.
GGUGGUGGUGGUGGUGGCGGUGGUGGUGGUGGUGGCGGUGGUGGUGGCGGUGGUGGUGGCGGUGGUGGCACACCGUACGCACACGUCCUGCCGACCGUGCCCGGCAUGUAGUAUCCCAACGCGCAUGCAAUAAUAGUGUGCAAUUUUUGCAUAUAGUUUUAUGGCAUGACUCGUACCAUAUUUAUACUGUAUAUUCUGAAAAAUACGUACAGGGGCGUUCCGUGCCCCUCUAUUUCCUAAGAGUAUGUAGUAGGUAAAACAUGAGAGUGGGUAACUUUCAGGGUAAGUUAUAACUUGAGUUAAUAUUUUUUUUUUCUGAUGUGGAUUGUGAUGUUUUGUUCCGCAAAGUGGCUAUGGUGCAUGGUUUUUUUCCUUGAAAGAAGGUAUAUUAGUUACUUCUCACACCAAAUCUGCUAGCCUUAAAUUAACUGCUGGUUUCCAUUUUGCUUUAACAUUUUAUUGGGUUUCUUUUUUUCUGCCUAUCGGCUACUGGGAAAAAAAAAUGUAUUUCAUAAGGCACUAUUUAGAUAAGAAACUUGUAUUAACAAGGCUAGGCAAAACAGUAAAAGAAAAGGGUAAAAUUAACAUUUAGCUUUGAUUAGAAAAUAUUUUUUUUUCCAUAAUUUAUAACAGAUACGUAUGAAAACUGGAAAACCCUUUCAAAUAAACAGCAUGUGCUUGGUUUCUCACAUUGACAGGACAGCUCACUAUGGCAGUAGCGGAGAGUCCAUGAAGCCAAGCCGGCUUUUGUUCUGGAUGCUCUGCCCUCGAAGGCAGGGCCAAAACCCCCCCCAUGCUCCAGCAGCACCAGGGGUUCUCUGCGCUGCUGGGCAUUCCCUGCACUGCUUUCUCUGUGGUGAAAACAUGUUCAGAAACAUUAACCAAGGUUGACCCUGUGGGUUCUGAAAUGAGUAAUACUUUGUAUAAAUGUCUGCUUUGACAGCCUGCUGUGGCUGCGUUUGGUUUUUGGGUUUUUAUCCUGUUUUGCCCCAAAAUGCAGGGCCACGAGGCGGUGUGGCUGCUUCGGAGCUGGGUGGCGGAGGGGCUCCUAGUCCCACUGGGGCUGGCGGUGGCGGCAGGGAGCAAAGCCUCGAGGGCACUAUACCCCGAGGGACAAAACAGUUCAUUUUUGUUACAAAGGCUGGCCUGGAGCAAGAAGCGAGAGGCUGAACGUCGCUGGAAGGGUUGGCUCAAGCGCCGCGGUGGCUCGGUGUCCUGGAAGUUACCGUGGGGCGUCGGUCAGUUGUGCGCUCACGGACGUGGUACUAACUGAGCGUUUUUUUCACCGCUUAUAACAAUUUUUGAGUGGCACUGCAUGCUUUCUACACCCUUGGCUAUACUGAAAUUCUUUGCACGUUGUUGUUAAAGGGCACCGUGUGUGCAGCUCCCUGUGUGCCGAUCCCCAGCACGCCAUGAGCAGACCUCUAACGCUGCAAGGUAAAAUCUGAACAUCUUCCCCCGUUUGCUAACACUUGCUCAGGUUGUCCUGUAAAAUCUGUGUGCCAGGUGUAACUCUUCUGCUAGUCCUCGGCUGGGUGAAAACGGCCACGUGCUGGGGGCAGCUUCCUCAGCAUGUGACAGCCACGGGGGCUUGACCCUGCCCAGAUCCCCUGCCGCCACGGACAGCCCACUGCCCUGUUGGCUUUUCCUAAUGGAAAGUCACUGCAGAACCCCCCCGGACUAAAAGCAAUGGUGUUGCACCCAGCUGGAGCCUGAGGGGCGCGGGAGACUCAGUGACUGCAUACAAAUACCUGAGAGUAUGCGAAACAUUGGGAAAGAAUCCUCACUUUUGUUAAUUAAUGCCAGAUAAAAUACUACGUUACGAUUAAUUCAGAAGUUUGACUUUUUAAAACCAAAAUAAUCACUUGUCCUUGCUGGACCCAAGAUUUCUGAGGCUUGUGGCUUGUACUGCAAUGUAUUACGUACUUUAAGGGUAAAAUAUAUGUCUUUCGUUAACGAGAGUGAAAGUACAAACAUGGAUGAUAACUUUCUUUAGUUAUUCGGUUUUGGAAGGUAUUUCUGGUUAAUAUUUCAUUUUUAUUGGUGUGACCCCUUUUCUGUUUUUCCUAACCAUUGCUUGUGCUAAGAAGUAUAUCUGUUUGUUCGAUUGCACAGCCGGUCUGUGUUCCCUACUGCUGAAUUCAUGCUUGAAUUAUAUUGUAAAUUGUACAUAUUCAAAUUAGAAUAAUCUAAAUGCAUUUUCUGGCAUGCACUCUCUAACUGUAUAAAUGUACAAGUUUAUUUGAAUUAUACAAAACAACAGACUCUUGUAUUCAUUAAUACUGCAAGCUCAGUUUUAUCUACAGCUAUAUUAAACUUUCAGAAAUUGUUCGGUUUAAA